AAAGUAUUUAGCCCGAGCUGCUUCAGUAUAUAAGGGAGACUUCAAGACCUAAUUGAUCAUUCAAGCCGCCAUUCUAAUAAGUUUAGAUUUUUAGGGUUUUGAGUCUACAUGUGCUCUACUCUUGUAUCGUUUGUGAUGCAAGUUUAGAACCUAUAUUGUGAGCCUUUCUUGUAUCGUCUGUGAUACAUGUUUAGGACUGUGUGUUGAGUUUGAUACUCUUGUGUACUACACCGAAGUUGUUAAACAAGGUGUUAGUUGUUUGUUUGAAGGUAACUUCAACUUUUGAGUUUGUGUUUAGGUCUGAUAGGUCACAGGGGUUGUGACUGACCAUAGGAUAGUGAGAUGGGAUCUCAGAUCUAGGAGUUCCUAGGUUGAAGUCUAUAUGGGUAGGUCCUAGGUCUUUAGUGUAAAUGAGGAG
This 418-nucleotide long non-coding RNA is filed under the name Medicago truncatula (barrel medic). Its description in RNAcentral is "long non-coding RNA (MTRU_LNC007201)". Lineage: Eukaryota; Viridiplantae; Streptophyta; Magnoliopsida; Fabales; Fabaceae. The record is from RNAcentral.